RNAcentral lists this ribosomal RNA (253 nucleotides) under uncultured bacterium. RNAcentral's name for it is "partial 16S ribosomal RNA". It matches the Rfam family "Bacterial small subunit ribosomal RNA", at positions 524 to 776 of the family's 1533-position model. The record is from RNAcentral.
UACGGAGGGUGCAAGCGUUAUCCGGAUUCACUGGGUUUAAAGGGUGCGUAGGUGGGCAAGUAAGUCAGUGGUGAAAUCUCCGGGCUUAACCCGGAAACUGCCAUUGAUACUAUUUGUCUUGAAUACUGUGGAGGUCAGCGGAAUAUGUCAUGUAGCGGUGAAAUGCUUAGAUAUGACAUAGAACACCAAUUGCGAAGGCAGCUGGCUACACAAAUAUUGAUACUGAGGCACGAAAGCGUGGGGAUCAAACAGG